GAAGAAUUAGUUAAACUUAUAACACAUGCUUGUCAAGCCUGAGUUACUGCCCAGACAGUAGUAUUCUUCG
RNAcentral lists this transfer RNA (70 nucleotides) under Trochus rota. Its description in RNAcentral is "tRNA-Asp". It matches the Rfam family "tRNA". Rfam says of the family: Transfer RNA (tRNA) molecules are approximately 80 nucleotides in length. Their secondary structure includes four short double-helical elements and three loops (D, anti-codon, and T loops). RNAcentral also lists the same sequence under 1 other name. The record is from RNAcentral. Lineage: Eukaryota; Metazoa; Mollusca; Gastropoda; Trochida; Trochidae.